Molecule: non-coding RNA, 2997 nt
Organism: Ciona intestinalis (vase tunicate)
Lineage: Eukaryota; Metazoa; Chordata; Ascidiacea; Phlebobranchia; Cionidae
Source: RefSeq, a predicted model, not a curated record
UAUUUACACAGCUUAUGUAGGCGGUAACCAGGUAGGAUAUGCAUAACUUAUUUAUAACUCGGCUAUGUUAGUUAUUAUGGUAAUGUACAAGAAUACGAAAGAAAUUAGGAAAAUAAUACAAAGCGCUAGAAUAGUCAAAGAAAAUCGUUAAAUAAAUUUCUAACGAAUUAUUAUACGGGGCAUGUAUAAACAUCAUAUUAUCAUAACUGUGAUAAACUCCGUGAAUUGGGCGCUGAUUUAGUGCAAAUGAAGUCGGAUGAUUUUUGUAACGAAACUACAAGUGCUACGACAUAUCUAACGUACAAAAGUCACGUUCAACGAUUUGGUUUCUAUGAGAUAAAUAUAUGCCCAAAAAUGGUACCAUCAAUCUUUUGUUCAAACAGUCCAUCUUCAUAUUAUUGGAUAUAUAUUUAUACAUUAAAAAAUCUUACAUAAAAAAAUAAAAGAUUUCGUCAAGCGUGAACGUUUCAGAUGUAUCGUCGUGGGAGAUGAGUACGACCAUAUGUUAUGGGAAAACAGAUGUAGGAGUGUGUGUAACGAUACACCAUGAGGCCUGUUUGCCAGGAAUUAGUAUGACAGUCCGUUAUUACUUUGUUCAAUUUACACUAGGGAAGCGAUAAACACGUUUGUGGUAACCAAUACUUCCUUUCACAGCUAUUGAUGUGGUUAAGGGGUCAAUAGUUCAUUUGACCAUGCUCUGCGCGUUCUGGUAACUAACAAAUCGCACCAACAAACAAUAACAGGCAAUUGUGUCAAUCGAAUAGUGAAGCCGGGGUUUAUGCGUGUAAACUAUAGGAAUAGGUCACAGAUUUCUUGGAAAGCAUUUGUUAUGAAAUUUCGCUUCCCGUUACUGAGUUAAUAGCGCUUACACCAGAACAAGAAUAAAACGGAACGUUAUAUAAGUUUUGGGAAAGAAAUCUUACGAAUACAUAAACGUUAACUCUAACUAAGAAAAUAUUCAUUCCGAAUGACAACGCUCUGUAAUUUGAAAGGCUUGCGUAUUCAAAAUACAUAAAUCGCAAGCAUAUCAAUUCUGUUGUUUAACCGUAACCUAAUGCAUAAAUGGUAUGUGUUAACUACACAAACGCACAUUGCAACAAAAGCUAAUUCCAGUAAAAUGACGUAAUCACAUAAAGGAAACGUAGAGUUAAUAGUUAACACAUUACGUGCAAAGUGCAACAAAACCUGUGUCCGUACGUAGGGGCGGUUUAUUGUAUGUUUAACCAGCUAUAUUUAUGAAGGUUACAAGAGGGGCGUCGCUACAAAAACCAAGUGCGCUUUUCCAUAGUGCCGACUUGAAUCACGCAAAACCAAACUUUAUUCGUAUUAUUUGUUGAAUAUUUGCCAUUGCAGAAAAACACAGUAAAAUGUAGCGUGACCGCGUGGGAAAGUUUGUGGUAUUUGUAUGCGUGCAACAUCGCAGCAGUAAAACGUUUGGUAUACAGACCACAGCGACACAAACAUUUAAAUUUUAAAUCAUUUGUCUGGUUUGGGUUUUGUACAUGGUUUUCAUACUCAGAAUUUAGCAGUUGGUCACACAUAAAUACGGAGAAAAUUCAUGACACAACGACUGUUACUUAUAUAACGAUUCGUGUCGUAUCUGUUUAUUGAACGCGUAUGGCUCUUUAUCGCCAGCUGAAGGCCAGGUUAAAUGCGAAAGUAAUUAUUACUAUCCUGUAUGGAUGAAAGCAAUUUUACAACGUUUUCUGUAUAAAUGUGAUACUUUACACUGUUACCUUUGUAGUUUGUUUUAAAUCCACUAACUUAUAUUAGGCUUUGGUAGUUUAAAGUUCAAAGUGUUAGUUAUAUUGUAUUACAAAAGUGCGAGAUGUCGAGAAGUGUCAAGACAUUGAAGACCAUAUAAUACAUACAUGAUACAGUUAUAUACAUAUUAUAAAAUAUUAUAUAUAUAAUAAUUAAACAAUAUUUACUAUCUAGAAUCUUUAUAGGUUUCAUUAAACAAUACCCUAAACCUAAACAGAGUUUAUCAGAAAGAUGAAGACAGCAGUGAGCACCUAUCAAACUCUGGUUAGCAAAAGCAACAUUACAGAACUACUAACAUUGCAAAAGCAUGGAAAGUGGAAACCAUAACCAUUACUUGUCCCAGGGAUCUUCCCCAACCAACGAACUUCUUCAAAAUCCCGCGCAAAUGUAUAUCAUGAAAAACAAGAGAUAUAAGCAAUAAUAAAUGGGCACAGCCUUUAUUAUAAAAUACUAUUAACAUCAUUUAUAAAUCCUCAGUGAAAGAAACUCAACUGGUGUAACAGUAACAACAUGUAUUAUAUUGCGGACAGUAUUUGGAGUUUGGUUGGGCAAGUAUGUUUAUGUACAUCAUUGUCAGCAUGUUCCGUUGGCUAGACUCGAAACUUUUACUUUGUUUUUGUGUAGACUGUCAGCUUUUUCAAACCAUUUGCACAAAUUUGACGGGAUAUCUCUCCGAAAAUAUUAUUUAACACGGUAAACAGCCAUUACUCGCAUUUCCAAGCGAACACAGGCAUUGGCUUGUUGACCUAAUUGUAUUAUUAACCAUCGUAGUAUCUAUACAUGGCAGGUACAGCUCACAACCACACCUUUCGGCUCAUAUUUCCUAUAGACGAGAGUAACUUUGUGGUAAUACAUGUAUACCAUCAUCAACAUUUAAAAAACCCUUCACAGCACAAAAUACAGCGUACACCUAAAUAAUUAUUUUUAUUUUCAUUAACUUAAUCGUCAUUAUACUUUCUCGGAAAUUCAACCCUAUUUAUCCACGACCGAUAGCGGCAUCGACAAAGUCGCUUAAAUAUUUUCGAUUUCUUGAGAGCAAUAAAUUAUAAAACAUGGCAUUUUUUGCACGGAGUACAGAAAUAUCGCUUAUACAAUAAAUGGAAUCUUUGUUCAAUUUCAAGCUCUAAUUUACCGAAAACUUAGAACACAAAGCUUGUCUUAACCUGGAAAAGCACAAAAAAAAGCACCCAUAGUACCAAUGCGAUAAAAGAUAAAUUACAAAACAAUUAACAU